RNAcentral lists this long non-coding RNA (763 nucleotides) under Setaria italica (foxtail millet). RNAcentral describes it as "long non-coding RNA (SITA_LNC000901)". The record is from RNAcentral. Lineage: Eukaryota; Viridiplantae; Streptophyta; Magnoliopsida; Poales; Poaceae.
UCGAGAAUUUAACCGGCGCUAUUCUUUCAGUGGUAGGCGAUAUGCUCGUCGACAGCGAGGCGCCAGUGGGAUUUCAUCAAUCUCGAGGAUUUGCCGGCUCAGUCUUUUGGAGGUGCUCAUAAGAGUAGAGUUGCAUGCGUGUGUUCGUAGGGGCAAGUGUGCGUACGUGCAUGCGAGCGUCUGGUGUACUGUGUGGUUCGAAAAAAAAAACGAGUACUUGGGUUGAGAUCACCUGGAGUACGUAGUCCAUGUCCAUGGUAUAUAUGAUUUUAUUGUGCACACGAUCGACUAGCUACGAAUUAUAUACUAUUUUCAAAUAUGUAUAGCGUUUAGAACAAACAAAUUUAUUUAAAAUAAAAUAAUUAAUUAACUUAUUAUAAACACCAACUUUUUAAAAACGGAGGAAUUGCAUGUGGACAUGCUUACAACUCACUCUCCGUUUGUCCCUCUUUGGUCGGCAUGCGGCUAUGGUUUCUUGUGAAUUUGCAUGACUCACGACGUCACAACUCUGGAUUUACAAAAGGAGGCACCACACCUCAAGGGAGGGAUCCUAUGUUCUAAAAUGAUCUACUUGUUUUUUAGAGGAUGAAAAUUGUACUGCUGCUCUUUUGGGCUAAAAGAGAAUUACCAUAUAGCAAUUUCGGUGGACAGAUGGGGAAAAAAGGGGGAAAUCAAACAAGUGAUGGCGCGAAUUGAAGGAACCGCCCACCCACCCUAACAAAGACGCGGCAACGUGGUAAUGGCGCCACCCGGAUAUUACAAC